ACAAGUUGACUUAGCACUCAUCCAUUAGAUCAUCAUGCUGUCAAAAGCCUAAAACUCAUGUUUGAAGCCUACACAUAGAGGAUUACAAAUGUAUCGAGAUAAGGAUCUUUUCUGAAUCUCACAAUUUUAAUGGCGUACCCUACAACAGCAUGGCUGUUGUUAUGGCUGUUUUUACUUCGGUUUAGAAGGCAAACCAGCUAAGAGAUAGAGUUUCAGAGACAUGAAGAGUGUGAAGUGACCUGCCAUGUGUAUGUUCAUGUACCAGAUCUGCUUGAUGAAAGUGAAAUGCCUUACUAAAUUCAUAACCCAUAUGAUAUAGCAUCAUCAGGAAAUGAUCUCAAUAUGGAGUUAUGCUGUUGGUUGCUGUGAAUUCCAUUUUUACGGUUAUAUCAUCAUGAACAUUCAGUUUUCUUAGAUAAGAGCACGCAGUUUCAUUAUGAAAUCGUGUGGUUCUGGCACGAAGAUUCUUGUGCCAAUGCUGACCUUGUCCAUGACAGAUGAGGGGCUUCCACCAACAUUCUUCGCCAUCCUUAUCUUCGCGACGCACGCUCAUCUAGCUUCCUUUCUAAACACAAUUUGUUUUACUUCACUGGCGAAUUGGCGAGUUUCUGGACCACUUCAUGAUCGCUUCCGUCCGCUGUUACACACCUGCAGUCAGUCACCACGGGAUUAUGCCCAGGCAAUACAGAGGAGACGUCGAGAAGAUGGAUUUUCUCAUCUUUAACAGUCGUCACCGGUCUCCGUCGGAUGUUGCCCCUGCUCCUGGUGCGAACGAAACUCGGUCGAAUCGCGACCGACACCGAGACCCGUCAUCAACGUGGAUCAUCGUAUUGUUGGUAUUAUGUCGUUUGUGUUAAGUGUUAGUUAACCCGUUGGUUGCCACG
Molecule: long non-coding RNA, 884 nt
Organism: Daphnia pulicaria
Lineage: Eukaryota; Metazoa; Arthropoda; Branchiopoda; Diplostraca; Daphniidae
Exons: 6
Source: RefSeq, a predicted model, not a curated record